Molecule: transfer RNA, 77 nt
Filed under: Photobacterium kishitanii
Lineage: Bacteria; Pseudomonadati; Pseudomonadota; Gammaproteobacteria; Vibrionales; Vibrionaceae
Description: tRNA-Arg
Rfam family: tRNA
About the family: Transfer RNA (tRNA) molecules are approximately 80 nucleotides in length. Their secondary structure includes four short double-helical elements and three loops (D, anti-codon, and T loops).
Source: RNAcentral
GCGCCUUUAGCUCAGUCGGAUAGAGCACGUCUCUUCUAAAGAUGUGGUCGCUGGUUCGAAUCCAGCAAGGCGCACCA